Molecule: ribosomal RNA, 663 nt
Filed under: Liolaemus lemniscatus
Lineage: Eukaryota; Metazoa; Chordata; Lepidosauria; Squamata
Description: partial 12S ribosomal RNA
Rfam family: Bacterial small subunit ribosomal RNA
Source: RNAcentral
GAUGGGAAAAACAAAAAACCCAAAAACAUAAAGUUUUGGUCCUAAACUUGCCGCUGUUUUUAAUCAAAAUUACACAUGCAAGCAUCCGCACACCAGUUAGAAUGCCCUACAAAGUAGAAAGGAGCAGGUAUCAGGCACAACUUAUUAGCCCAAAACACCUUGCUACGCCACACCCACACGGGCACCCAGCAGUUAUAAAUAUUAAGCAAUAAGUAAGCAACCCACAUCAAGCUUGACUUAGUUAUGAUUAUCAGGGCCGGUCAACCUCGUGCCAGCCACCGCGGUUAUACGAAGGGCCCAAAACAGCAGACCCCGGCGUAAAUUAUGGCUAGAGAAACUACUUAUUUAACGGGAGAUAAACACUAACCCAAUCGUAAAACCCGAGUUAAAAGAAACCCCUCCCCUCCCAAGAACAAAGUAACUUGAACCCAUGAAGGCUAAGAAACAAACUAGGAUUAGAUACCCUACUAUGCUUAGCUGUUAACACGACACAGCUUAACACUAGUGUCCGCCAGAGGAUUACGAGCGAAAAGCUUAAAACUCAAAGGACUUGGCGGUGCUCCGUAUUCGUCUUAGAGGAGCCUGUCCUAUAAUCGAUACUCCACGCUUUACCUCACCAUCUUUUGUCCUUCCAGCCUAUAUACCGCCGUCGCAAACUUACCC